AGAGUUUGAUCCUGGCUCAGAACGUACGCUGGCGGCACGCCUAACACAUGCAAGUCGAACGCAGUAGCAAUACUGAGUGGCGAACGGGUGAGUAUAAUGUGGGUAUCUGCCUUUCGGUUUGGAAUAACACGAGGAAACUUGUGCUAAUACCGGAUAAGCCCUUACGGGGAAAGUUUUAACGCCGAAAGAUGAGCCCGCACUUGAUUAGCUAGUUGGUAAGGUAAUGGCUUACCAGGGCAACGAUCAAUAGUUGAUCUGAGAGGAUGAUCAGCCACAUUGGGACUGAGACACGGCCCAAACUCCUACGGGAGGCAGCAGUGGGGAAUCUUGCACAAUGGGGGAAACCCUGAUGCAGCGAUGCCGCGUGAGUGAAGAAGGCCUUUGGGUUGUAAAGCUCUUUCGUCGGGGAAGAAAAUGACUGUACCCGAAUAAGAAGGUCCGGCUAACUUCGUGCCAGCAGCCGCGGUAAUACGAAGGGACCCAGCGUAGUUCGGAAUUACUGGGCUUAAAGAGCACGUAGGUGGUUAGAAAAGUUGGUGGUGAAAUCCCAAGGCUUAACCUUGGAACUGCCAUCAAAACUUUUUGACUAGAGUGUGAUAGAGGUAAGCGGAAUUUCUAGUGUAGAGGUGAAAUUCGUAGAUAUUAGAAAGAACACCAAUUGCGAAGGCAGCUUUCUGGAUCAUUACUGACACUGAGGUGCGAAAGCAUGGGUAGCGAAGAGGAUUAGAUACCCUCGUAGUCCAUGCCGUAAACGAUGUGUGCUAGACGUUGG
Molecule: ribosomal RNA, 772 nt
Filed under: uncultured Alphaproteobacteria bacterium
Lineage: Bacteria; Pseudomonadati; Pseudomonadota; Alphaproteobacteria
Description: bacterial SSU rRNA
Rfam family: Bacterial small subunit ribosomal RNA
Source: RNAcentral